ACACAUGCAGUCGAGCGGUAACAGGUCCAGCUUGCUGGAUGCUGACGAGCGGCGGACGGGUGAGUAACGCAUAGGAAUCUACCCGGUAGUGGGGGAUAACCUGGGGAAACCCAGGCUAAUACCGCAUACGUCCUACGGGAGAAAGGGGGCUUUGGCUCCCGCUAUUGGAUGAGCCUAUGCCGGAUUAGCUGGUUGGUGAGGUAAUGGCUCACCAAGGCGACGAUCCGUAGCUGGUCUGAGAGGAUGAUCAGCCACAUCGGGACUGAGACACGGCCCGAACUCCUACGGGAGGCAGCAGUGGGGAAUAUUGGACAAUGGGGGCAACCCUGAUCCAGCCAUGCCGCGUGUGUGAAGAAGGCCCUCGGGUUGUAAAGCACUUUCAGCGAGGAAGAACGCCUGUCGGUUAAUACCCGGCAGGAAAGACAUCACUCGCAGAAGAAGCACCGGCUAACUCCGUGCCAGCAGCCGCGGUAAUACGGAGGGUGCAAGCGUUAAUCGGAAUUACUGGGCGUAAAGCGCGCGUAGGUGGCUUGAUAAGCCGGUUGUGAAAGCCCCGGGCUCAACCUGGGAACGGCAUCCGGAACUAUUAGGCUAGAGUGCAGGAGAGGAAGGUAGAAUUCCCGGUGUAGCGGUGAAAUGCGUAGAGAUCGGGAGGAAUACCAGUGGCGAAGGCGGCCUUCUGGACUGACACUGACACUGAGGUGCGAAAGCGUGGGUAGCAAACAGGAUUAGAUACCCUGGUAGUCCACGCCGUAACGAUGUCGACCAGCCGUUGGGUGCCUAGCGCACUUUGUGGCGAA
RNAcentral lists this ribosomal RNA (800 nucleotides) under Halomonas sp. RNAcentral's name for it is "bacterial SSU rRNA". It matches the Rfam family "Bacterial small subunit ribosomal RNA", at positions 51 to 850 of the family's 1533-position model. Lineage: Bacteria; Pseudomonadati; Pseudomonadota; Gammaproteobacteria; Oceanospirillales; Halomonadaceae. The record is from RNAcentral.